Molecule: ribosomal RNA, 470 nt
Filed under: uncultured bacterium
Lineage: Bacteria
Description: bacterial SSU rRNA
Rfam family: Bacterial small subunit ribosomal RNA
Source: RNAcentral
GAUGAACGCUGGCGGCGUGCUUAACACAUGCAAGUCGAACGGUGAAGGCGGAGCUUGCUCUGCUGGAUCAGUGGCGAACGGGUGAGUAACACGUGAGCAAUCUGCCCCUGACUCUGGGAUAAGCGCUGGAAACGGCGUCUAAUACUGGAUACGAGCUGCGAAGGCAUCUUCAGCAGCUGGAAAGAACUUCGGUCAGGGAUGAGCUCGCGGCCUAUCAGCUUGUUGGUGAGGUAAUGGCUCACCAAGGCGUCGACGGGUAGCCGGCCUGAGAGGGUGACCGGCCACACUGGGACUGAGACACGGCCCAGACUCCUACGGGAGGCAGCAGUGGGGAAUAUUGCACAAUGGGCGCAAGCCUGAUGCAGCAACGCCGCGUGAGGGACGACGGCCUCGGUUGUAACCUCUUUAGUCAGGAGAAGCGAAAGUGACGGUACCGUGCAGAAAAGACGACCGGCUAACUACGUGCCACG